Molecule: RNA transcript, 6119 nt
Organism: Solenopsis invicta (red fire ant)
Lineage: Eukaryota; Metazoa; Arthropoda; Insecta; Hymenoptera; Formicidae
Gene name: dynein assembly factor 4, axonemal
Exons: 9
Source: RefSeq, a predicted model, not a curated record
CAGUUCAUUUAUUUAAAAGUAUAUAUUUGUGUUAUUAAAGUAAUCAAUCUGCAUGCUCUUGCGGUUGCUUGGAUAUAUUUGUUUGAUCGAUAUUUUACAUAAAGCGCUUUGCAAGGUUUUACAACGAACAAGAACGAAAGUUAUACCGAUUCGAACGAAUCUAAAUUCGGCUAUCAUGGCGAUAGUUAUAAAAGAUUAUCAGUGGCGACAAACGGAUAAAAGAAUAAUAAUUUACGUGCCUCUAAAAGGUCGCCCUAAAAAUGUGGAUUUAUUUGUUAUGGACAAUUACAUAAAGAUUAGCUUUUCACCUUUUAUUUUGGAAUUAUUUCUGUGGGAAAACGUGCUUGAAGAGGAGAGCGAAUGCACUUUGACGGAUAUUGAGGCUAUUUUUUCUUUGCAAAAAGCGGACAUAACUAUUGAUUGGCCAACACUCGAGGUGAAGAACAUUACCAAGAGUGAAAAGUGUCACAUUAAAAAUCGAGUUUUAGAGAAAUUGCAAAGCGUUAUGGAAAACCGUGCAAAAUUAAGGAAAGAAAAACUUCAAAAUCUGCAAAAGGAAGCGAUAAAAAUACAAGUUAAUUUGGAUACUGAAACAUCGAAUAAAAUAGAGGUUUUGCGAAACAGUCAACGGAAAGCUGCAAUGCAAGAGUUCGAAGAAUGGCGAUCAAAUGCGGAAAUGCCGAUCUUCCAGGACAUUUCGGGAAAAGUGCAAAAAAAUAGGAAAGCGUAUAGGCCUCCACUCAAAUGGUUCAAGGAUGAUCUCGACAUAAUACAAUGUCGAGAAAUUGAUGUAGGAGAAAUAAAUAAAGAAGGCGGAACAGAAGAAAAACAAAAUGAAUCUAUAACUAUAGAAGAAUUAAAGGAAGAAUCAACUACUGAAGAGAAAUUCAAGAAAGGUUCAAUCGUUGACGAAGGUAUGAAAAAAAAAUUAAUUGUUGAAGAAAACCUGAAGGAAGACCCGAAUGAAAUUACUGAAGAAAAUCCGAAAAAAGCAACAGUUGAAGAACGUCUGAAGGAUGAUCAUCAAUCAAUCAAUCAAACGGAUUUAAAAAAAGACAUAAAUCUCAACGGAAAUGUAGGAAAGAAAAGGGAUGUCGGGAUAAAGGCAACAACGAAUCUGAGCAAAAAUGUUAAUUUUGAAGAAUGUUCCAGUUGUUCCGAGGAUUCCUCAUCAGAUGACGAGAUUACAUCCUCCAAGUCUCCAACAAAUUUUUUAGUUAAGGAAAUGGAUCAGAAAUCCUUGCAGAAGUUCUAUACGAACAUGGAGAAGCAAAGACCAGAUCGGGAUUUGAUUGAUAGAAUACUGAAGGGUCAAUAUCCUAAAAUAAAUCAAAUAUUUGAUGACCCUACAAAGGCGAUUCCACUUCCUAGAAAAAGCGGAACGAUCAAUGUAACUUUUUCCGAACGGGCCUUCCCCACUCCGGCGAGAGAGAGUUCUCACGUAGAAGAACAGGAAUGGCUCUCCAAGCAAGCGGAAGCUAGAAGAAAAACAGGAUUCGUUGCUGAAGAUCUUUGCCCUGAAGAACAGGAUCCGCAAUGGCUUAAAGACAAGGGCGAUGAGUUCUUCAAGGUGGGAAAUUACUUAGCUGCUAUCAGUGCAUAUACACAUGGAAUUAAAAUCAGCGACAAGUUGGCGGCGCUUUAUGUGAACAGAUCCGCUGCACAUUAUGCUCUUGGAAAUUAUUAUAGGUGUAUCGAUGAUUGUUCUAAGGUAUUAGAACUGAUGGAACCAAAGUGUGAAAGCAACAGGGUAUCGCGAGCAAGGUGUCACGCUCGUCGAGGUGCUGCGCUUUGCAAAUUAUCCGCACCACAGCAUGGAAUCCCCGAACUAGAAGCUGCGUUGAAACUAGAUCCGAAUAACGAGAGCAUUAAACGCGAUCUUUAUACCGUUAGACAAUAUUUUAAUGUAAAGGAAUGAAAAGAAGACGACUGUGGCUUAAAUUUUCCCUCUGUAGAAAUUUUAGAAUUUUUCAACUUAUUUAUUUGCCAAUAAGUUGCUGUAUAUAUGAUUCAUACAGAUAAUUAAAAUAUAAAAAAGAUCAGUUGCUGUCUUCGAGAUAGUUUUCCUUGUUCAAAACCUGGAAUUCUUCAUAGCCAGAAUUUUAUCCAUGCAGGCGCACUUGGUAUGCUCGACAGCAUGGAUGACUUCAUGGUGACGAUCUCGUUGUUGAUCAAUGCGAUGUCUGACCAUGAAAACGAGGCUGACAUUUCUGGUUUCGAUCGGGAUACAGAUCUGUUUGGAGUCGGGACAGCACCCUGAUCCAACGCAGCGUGUCAGAACCGUAAAUGCAGGAUAAAAAGCUUCGUCCGGUCCGAGGCCUACGGUCAGGAGAUCCUCCACUGGGAUUGCUCGUGGUUGGGGCAAUGAACAUUGAAACUGGUGCACCAGCUGCACAUGGCUCAAAAAAUCACUGUCUCUAUAUCGAACGAGAACGUGUACAGGUAAUUAAUUAAAACUGAAGCAAGUAAAAGAAAGAAAAGACAAUGAAAAAAAAAAUCAAGAGAAAUAAGAACCAAAAAUUCAGAGAUGAAAAACGAAACAAAAAAGAAAAGGUUAAAAAUUAAAAAAUUUGAUGAAUAAUCAUGUUGUUAAAGAAAUUGAAAAAUCUGAGUACAUUGUCCUCUUACCUAUGAUGCUUGCCAACGACAAUUAAUGCAACCUGAAUGCAGAUUACCAACAACAAAAGUUUCUUCAUCUUUGAAAUGAGACUCUCUAAAUGAGCUUUCACAAGUUGUUAAAUCACUACAGUAUCUUAUCGAUAAGUAUAAAUCAAUGAUUACUGUAAUAUUUGUAAAGACACACUUUCGUAGAGGUAAUCAAUAACUUUGCUCAAAAAUUGAAAAUAAAUUGGGGUUAUUGAAUAGCGAUCACACUACAAUAUUUUUCGAACUUUAAUUUCUUUCGUUGAUAAUUAUUCUUUCAAAAGAAUGGUUUUAUGAAUGAAACAGUCUUAUUUUUAAUUAAACGCGAAUUAAAACGGAAUAAUUGAACUUCAGGUGUGCGAAAUCCUUUAAAGAUCUUUAAAUCUUUUUAAGAUUUUUAAAUUUGUUUCACUCUGGGUCGAAGAAUGAAAGAAGUAAAUAAUCCAGGAAAGUAAGACUUAAAAUCUUUUUUCAAGUCAAAAAGAGAUUUUUCUUUUAGGAAGAAUUCUUCUUUCACUCAAUUCCAAACUCUCAUAAGUUAAUUUUCACACUUCCGUCAAUUUUCACUUUAGUCAACUUCAAAUUUUAUUUUUGAAAGUAUCCCUUCUUUCCUUCAGAAGUAUUUAAUUAACCAUUCCGAUGAAUUUGAUACGCAGUCGAUUUUCUCUUCCAGAAGCCAACUUUCUUCAAUCUUUUCUUCGAACUUCACGGCUUUUUGCACCGAAGAAGACCACUGCAACUACCGCCAAGUUCUGAGAUCAGAAUUCUUUCAUUCUGUGUAUAUACGUAACUGUUAUCCAGCUUUCGCCUCGCCUACCUUCUCGUCUUCCCUUCUCCGAUUUCUUCUCUCUCUCUCUUUCUCUCUUUCGUUGCCACUUGCUCCUUGAUUUCUCUUCGCGAAGAGGUCUUCCUGCGACUUCCCGGUAAGAGGAGAAGAUUUAAGAAGGGAUCAAUCUAACCGUUCCAAGAAGCUCUUCGAAAUAACCGUAAUUACUGAAAGUACCUCGCGUGACUUUUCUCUUUCUCGCUUCAUUUCCUUCAUCUUCUGAGUGCUUUCUUCUUCCUUAUUUUCUCUCCUCCUCUUAUCUGGCCACCUGGUUUGGGAUGCAGGAAUCGGGGGAGCGCAGCGAAAUAAAGUGAAGAGAUCACGUUUUUAAAUUUAAUAGUUAAUUGAAGAUACUUAAUCGUAUGAGCUACUCACAAUCUUAAACUUUGCGUGUCAUUACAAAUUUUAUAUUAAAUCUUUUAAUUUUCGAUUUUUUUUAAAUGAUAUAAUUAAAAAUUGAUUGGUCUUUAAAACAAUUAAUUAUUAGAUUUCUAAGGAAAUUUAUAAAACAUCUCUCAAAAUGUGGAUCUAAUACAUUUAUACUGCAGUCAAAUGUAAAGAAAUAAACACAGAAAAUAAAAAGUUGUUUUAAUAUGUGAAAAAUAGCUUUUGGCUGCUCAUUUUUAAUAGUGGAAUAUUUAACUUCUAAUAACUUUUAAUAAUGGAAACGAUAAGGAAAAUCACCGCACUGCUGUGUAUAUGAUUCAUCUACAAUAAAAGAACCAAGAAUAUCAUUCAUUUUUGUGAACGGGAAUCACCUUUGAUGGGGAUGGCAAUUAUUAGCAUUGCGACUUAUAUGGCUGAGAUACAAUCUAUUACAGUAAUAUGUAUAUAUAAACGUCUACGUCGUGUCUAGUCGAGUAUUCUGAGAGUCAUUCUAAAGACUCAUUUCCUUAUUUCCAUAAGAAUCGUGGAUUCCCGGCUGUCGUUUAGAUAUAAUUAAAUAUACAAUAGGUCUAUAAAUAAGCAAAAGAAUUGCAGAGGAAAGUUUAAUGCGUGAAUAAUUACAAUGCUUGUAACUAUAAUUAAUUUAUUCUUGUAAUGUAUACAAAAUUGCUUUAAAAAUUUUUGAAUAUAGGGAACAAAUAUAUAAAUAUAAAAAUAAAUAAAUAAUGAAUAUUAAUUUAAAAAUAUUAAAUUAUGCUAUUGUGAGUGUGCGAAAUCAGAGAAUAAAAUAAUAUUUUUUAAUAUAAUUUGUAUUCUGUUUUUUUAUAAGUGGACAAUGUUACAAGUUGUUUUUGUAGAAAAAAAUUGUUACUUCAUUAAUAUAUGAAUUUCUAAAAUCAGCGCACUUGUAAUCGCGCAAUUUUAUUUCUCUCAUUAUAAAUAAUUGAUUUGUGCGCAUAAAGUACGAUACCCAUGAAUUAAACACAAAUCCGGAUAAUUGUUUCACACGAUUCAAAUGAGGUAGGUUCUUUGUUAUCGCGUCAUCAAUACUCAGAUUGAGGAAGCAAAUUAAAAUUCCUUACACAGAUUGGACCAGAGUGGGUCAUCGAAAGUCCUGACAAAAUUCGCAAUGCUUCAACGAUCAUGUUUCAAAGAUUAAGUCAUCGUUGAGUGAGUCAUAGUAUUCAUAAAUAAGUGGAUGACCAUCACAAAAAAUGGUGGCAAUUAUAUUACUGAAUAUAUAAUAAAAAAAUGAAGAUAAAAGAUUUCAUGGUUGAAUUAGGAAAAUAAAAGAGCUAAUGCUAUCGUGAAAGAUUCGAUAAAUAUCUAUUUGAAAUUUAAAGUCAAUGGGGUUCGUAACAAGAUCGUUGAUGAUAGUGUGAUAGUCACUGUUAAUGGUAGCAAUUAAGUCUACGAGUCAUCUUCACUACCAUAGAAAAAUCAGAAACAGCGUUCACAGUCCAGAUUCAAUUAUAGCAUAGAUUAAUCAUUUCGUGUAAUUAUAAACUAGGCCGUAUCACAUUUUAUUUCUAGAACAGGAACCUGGUCAAUGAGUUACAAAGAGGAAGUUACGUCUGCGAUGAGUAUACCCAUGGUAUUCGAAUAAUUACGUCAGUUUAUACGUCAUUCUUACGUACUUUUGAUUAUAACUUACGUAUGAAUGACUUGGCAAAAUAAAUCCUUGGAUAAUAGCACGCUGUGAAUGACGUCAUUAAUAAGGGAACUCCCGACAUAGGAAAGAAGACAUCUACGGCUACGUGUUCCCAUCUGCGUCACAAAACGGGGAACGCCUUCAUGAUGAUUAAGCCUUUCUCAACAGUCGCAAUAUUCCGAUGAAAUCCCUUUGCAACUUUGAUCUGCACCGUACACUUACUUGUGUAACAAAAAAUAGGAUUGAAAACGUAAAUCAUCCUAAUCACAAUAUUAGUAAGAUCGAAAGGAAUGUUAUGAAGAUGGUAUAUAUCAGCUAAGAUCCUUUGAAAAAAGGAACUGAUGAAAGUGUUUUAAUAAAUUGAUUAUUAUAUCAGUAACUAAUGAUAUUUCAUCAGUUGCUGAGCACUGCUAGAAUUCGAGCCUAAGCCUUUCCGCUUUCUGAGGUAGACACUGUCGUUGAGUUAUAAUUUAUUGAUUCUAUAUUUAUCUAAAUGUCCUACAUAAAAUUACCUAUUUAUAUAUUAUUACUUUUAUAUAUAUUUAAAUAUGUAAUAAUAUAUUUUAAAAUAAAAGUAUAUAAUACAUGCUUGUAUACCUUGAGUAUACAGAA